Molecule: non-coding RNA, 73 nt
Organism: Ailuropoda melanoleuca (giant panda)
Lineage: Eukaryota; Metazoa; Chordata; Mammalia; Carnivora; Ursidae
Source: Rfam
GCCUGGCUGGCUCAGUCAGAAGAGCAUGUGACUCUUAAUCUCAGGGUUAUGGGUUUGAGCCUCACGCUGGGUG